CAUAUCCAAUUAAGCGGGAGGAAAAAGAAACCAACCGGGAUUGCCUCAGUAACGGCGAGUGAAGCGGCAAAAGCUCAAAUUUGAAAUCUKGKAYCUUCGGUGCCCGAGUUGUAAUUUGUAGAGGGCGACUUUGGGGCGGCUCCUUGUCUAUGUUCCUUGGAACAGGACGUCAUAGAGGGUGAGAAUCCCGUGUGGCGAGGAGUGCGGUUCCGUGUAAAGCGCUCUCUGAAGGGUCGAGUUGAUUUG
This 246-nucleotide ribosomal RNA is filed under the name Saccharomyces cerevisiae (brewer's yeast). RNAcentral's name for it is "partial large subunit ribosomal RNA". Lineage: Eukaryota; Fungi; Ascomycota; Saccharomycetes; Saccharomycetales; Saccharomycetaceae. The record is from RNAcentral.